GUGACCGGGAUGGCGCAUUUUCUUGCACCAAGUAAUGCGGUGUCGCUGGCGGCUGAGGAGGGCGGAGAGUUCUGUGGUGAAGUAGUGGGAGGGAUUCAUGUAGGCAUCGGGAAGAGCCUAAGUCCACAUUAUAAAAUAGGAAGUUGAUGCGGGGUACAGCUACUCCCGGACCGGCGGCGUGAAAGUCGUGAUAUCAUCGUUGAACUCAAUGGGGUAUCUUCCAAGGAUCUCAAUCAGAAGGGAGAGAUGACUCCGAUUGGAAUGUCAUCCCUGGCUGAAGAGUAGAAGAAGCGAAAAAAAGAAUAGUUAAAGAGGCAAAUGCAGGGAGCCCGACGAGGAGGCUAUUGCCGUAGUAGUUCACAUGGUGAAAAGAAUGGAGCGUUUGUAUUAAUAAUUAUGGAUUCACUCUGAACAAAUUUCUGGCAGCUUUUUAGUUUGAAAGUGAGAAGUUUCAGUCUCUCACUGA
This 466-nucleotide small RNA is filed under the name Pongo abelii (Sumatran orangutan). Its description in RNAcentral is "processed transcript". The record is from RNAcentral. Lineage: Eukaryota; Metazoa; Chordata; Mammalia; Primates; Hominidae.